GAGUUUGAUCCUGGCUCAGAACGAACGCUGGCGGCAGGCUUAACACAUGCAAGUCGAGCGCACUCUUCGGAGUGAGCGGCGGACGGAUUAGUAACGCGUGGGAACGUGCCCUUCUCUAAGGAAUAGCCACUGGAAACGGUGAGUAAUACCUUAUACGCCCUUCGGGGGAAAGAUUUAUCGGAGAAGGAUCGGCCCGCGUUAGAUUAGAUAGUUGGUGGGGUAAUGGCCUACCAAGUCUACGAUCUAUAGCUGGUUUUAGAGGAUGAUCAGCAACACUGGGACUGAGACACGGCCCAGACUCCUACGGGAGGCAGCAGUGGGGAAUCUUGGACAAUGGGCGCAAGCCUGGUCCAGCCAUGCCGCGUGAGUGAUGAAGGCCUUAGGGUCGUAAAGCUCUUUCGCCAGAGAUGAUAAUGACAGUAUCUGGUAAAGAAACCCCGGCUAACGCCGUGCCAGCAGCCGCGGUAAUACGGAGGGGGUUAGCGUUGUUCGGAAUUACUGGGCGUAAAGCGCACGUAGGCGGAUCAGAAAGUAUAGGGUGAAAUCCCAGGGCUCAACCCUGGAACUGCCUUGUAAACUCCUGGUCUUGAGUUCGAGAGAGGUGAGUGGAAUUCCGAGUGUAGAGGUGAAAUUCGUAGAUAUUCGGAGGAACACCAGUGGCGAAGGCGGCUCACUGGCUCGAUACUGACGCUGAGGUGCGAAAGUGUGGGGAGCAAACAGGAUUAGAUACCCUGGUAGUCCACACCGUAAACGAUGAAUGCCAGACGUCAGCAAGCAUGCUUGUUGGUGUCACACCUAACGGAUUAAGCAUUCCGCCUGGGGGGUACGGUCGCAAGAUUAAAACUCAAAGGAAUUGACG
This 859-nucleotide ribosomal RNA is filed under the name uncultured bacterium. RNAcentral describes it as "bacterial SSU rRNA". It matches the Rfam family "Bacterial small subunit ribosomal RNA", at positions 9 to 915 of the family's 1533-position model. The record is from RNAcentral.